This 403-nucleotide ribosomal RNA is filed under the name uncultured bacterium. RNAcentral describes it as "partial 16S ribosomal RNA". It matches the Rfam family "Bacterial small subunit ribosomal RNA", at positions 28 to 526 of the family's 1533-position model. The record is from RNAcentral.
GACGAACGCUGGCGGCGUGCCUAAUACAUGCAAGUCGAACGCAGUGGGGCCGGGUGAGUAACACGUGGGUAACCUCCCAUCAGAGGGGAUAACACCUGGAAACAGGUGCUCAACCGUUAUUGAUGGAUGGACCCGCGGUGCAUUAGCUAGUUGGUGAGGUAACGGCUUACCAAGGCCACGAUGCAUACCCGACCUGAGAGGGUGCUCGGCCACACGGGGACUGAGACACGGCCCAGACUCCUACGGGAGGCAGGAGUAGGGAAUCUUCGGCAAUGGACGAAAGUCUGACCGAGCAACGCAGCGUGAGUGAAGAAGGUUUUCGGAUCGUAAAACUCUGUUGUUAGAGAAGCGGUAUCUAACCAGAAAGCCACGGCUAACUACGUGCCAGCAGCCGCGGUAAUUC